This 496-nucleotide ribosomal RNA is filed under the name uncultured bacterium. RNAcentral describes it as "partial 16S ribosomal RNA". It matches the Rfam family "Bacterial small subunit ribosomal RNA", at positions 28 to 507 of the family's 1533-position model. The record is from RNAcentral.
GAUGAACGCUGGCGGCGUGCCUAAUACAUGCAAGUCGAGCGAACAGACGAGGAGCUUGCUCCUUUGACGUUAGCGGCGGACGGGUGAGUAACACGUGGAUAACCUACCUAUAAGACUGGGAUAACUUCGGGAAACCGGAGCUAAUACCGGAUAACAUGUUGAACCGCAUGGUUCAACAGUGAAAGACGGUCUUGCUGUCACUUAUAGAUGGAUCCGCGCCGCAUUAGCUAGUUGGUAAGGUAACGGCUUACCAAGGCAACGAUGCGUAGCCGACCUGAGGGGGUGAUCGGCCACACUGGAACUGAGACACGGUCAGACUCCUACGGGAGGCAGCAGUAGGGAAUCUUCCGCAAUGGGCGAAAGCCUGACGGAGCAACGCCGCGUGAGUGAAGAAGGUCUUCGGAUCGUAAAACUCUGUUAUUAGGGAAGAACAAAUGUGUAAGUAACUAUGCACGUCUUGACGGUACCUAAUCAGAAAGCCACGGCUAACUACGUG